Molecule: RNA transcript, 1745 nt
Organism: Pistacia vera
Lineage: Eukaryota; Viridiplantae; Streptophyta; Magnoliopsida; Sapindales; Anacardiaceae
Exons: 7
Source: RefSeq, a predicted model, not a curated record
UACAUGAUUUUCUGUCUCAUCUCUCAAAUUAAACUCACCCAAUCCAUUUAACUGCUCAAAUAUAAUCAAAAUGUCUCAGCUCUCUCCGCUAAUGGCAACUCAGCCUCUUACUAUCACACCUCACGUCGCCGCUCUAUCACCUCCUCCAUGCGUCACCACAACCACCGCCAGAGCCGUCACAGUUGUCCCACUUCCGGCACUUGCCGGUGAGCUCUUGAUUCUCCCACUCCGGUUUAGUAGACGACGUUUCAAGAUGUUAAAUCCGAGUGUGUUGUUUAUGAGAGCAUCCUCUUUGGAAAGAACGGUCAAGUUACAGAUUUUGACAGCCAAAUUUCUACAGACAAGAUAGCUAAGACGUCAUGCAACUUUCCUGAUUGGAGAGCAAGGUGUUUUUCUGUGGAAAUUUUCGAAUUUUUGAAGAUGAAUCAAUUGUAUCAUCGGAAGAACGCCUUUGGCGCGCGUGAGGAGACGCACGGUUUUGAAUUCUCUGAUCAGGGGGAGUCUGUUGUUUGUCCGAAGCCACGACGAUCAUCCAGUUGGGGUGUCUGAUUCAAACGCCAGGGCAGAGCUUCUAGACAUCAUUCUCAUGAAGGUAAUAGGUGAGGCUGAUUUUCAGCGUAAUAGGGAUUUGGAGAAGUUUUCGUGUAGAAGAAGACCUGGGCAUGUUCGAUCCCUUUCUGUGUAGAAGAAGAUUCAGGCAUGUUCAAUCCCAUAAGUUCUCAUCUUUCUUUGUUGAAUGGUUGUAUUAUGAGUUCAAGAUACCCUAAUUCAUAAUUCUUUAUAUAUAGUGGUUUAAAUUAUAUUUAUAAUGGUAAAAGUUUUAACCAUGAAUCUUUUCUUAUCCAACAGUGACAAUUGCAGCAUGUCGAUUGUUAAUUUCCACGGAAGCUGCUCCAAUCCUGAUUGUUCUUAUGAUCUCUGCCUGACUUGCUGUGGAGAAAUAAGAAAAGGUUUUCAACAGGGAUGUAUUGAAGAAGAGCUUUCUGAAUAGCAGUUAGCUGAAAAAGCAAAUGGUCAGGUUACAGAUUUUGACAGCCAAAUUUCUGCAGACAAGAUCGCUAAGACGUCAUGCAACUUUCCUGAUUGGAGAGAAGAGGGUCCUCCCAAAGCACAUGGAGGUUGUGGUACGUAGAUACUUGCACUAAGACACAUCUUUGACGCUAAUUGGAUUGAAAAACUGAUUAAGACUGCAGAGGACCUGACUAUCAAUUAUAAGCCGCUGGAUUUUUUUCUCAAGGAUGUUUUUUGUGCAAUCAUGUAUAUUCUGCUGAAAAUGGAGUAAAAACUUUUGGAGUUAGGCAGGCAGCUCAUAGGGACAACAGUCAGGACAAUUAUCUCUACAGCCCAACUACUACUCAAUUGGGAAACAAUGAAAUCGAGCAUUUUCAAAUGCAUUGGAUGAGAGGUGAACCUAUGAUAGUUACAAAUGUGGUUGAAAAGACUUCUGGUCUUAGUUGGGACCUAAUGGUCAUGUGGAGGGCUUUUGGAGGGACACAAAAGAUUUUAAAAGAGGAGGCUCAUAAGGUUAAAACUGUUGAUUGUUUUGAUUGGUGUGAGGUAUGUGUCCACGUUUUUAUAUCCCAGAGUUGCAGUACACCUUUCUGUAGUUGCUGAUAUGUUCCUCUAGAGGCAUACCUCCUUACUGGCCCAGUUCCAUUACCAGGCCAGUAUUUUACUCGGUUCAUGUAUUAUUACUUUUUACUUUUUCCUUUUUAAUGAUAAUUGGUUUUGUAAGCUUUAAAUCU